Molecule: ribosomal RNA, 774 nt
Filed under: uncultured Neocallimastigales
Lineage: Eukaryota; Fungi; Neocallimastigomycota; Neocallimastigomycetes; Neocallimastigales
Description: partial large subunit ribosomal RNA
Rfam family: Eukaryotic large subunit ribosomal RNA
Source: RNAcentral
UAUGUGAUCGUCUCUCGCAUAUCAAUAAGCGGAGGAAAAGAAACUAACAAGGAUUCCCUUAGUAACGGCGAGUGAAGCGGGAAGAGCUCAAAUUUGAAAUCUUCAAGGUUUUACCUUGACGAAUUGUAGUUUAAAGAAGUGUUUUCUGUUGAAGUUUUGGUAAAAGUUCUUUGGAAUAGGACACCAUAGAGGGUGAGAAUCCCGUAUUUGACCAUUAUUUUCAGCUGUGUGAUACACUUUCAAAGAGUCGGAUUGUUUGGGAAUGCAGUCCAAAAUGGGUGGUAAAUUCCAUCUAAAGCUAAAUAUUGGCGAGAGACCGAUAGCGAACAAGUACCGUGAGGGAAAGAUGAGAAGAACUUCGAAAAGAGAGUUAAACAGUACGUGAAAUUGUCAAAAGGGAAGCGUUUGACACCAGUGUUGUUUUCUCGAAAAUCAAUUAAAAAGAGUUAGAUUUUGUUGUGUACUGACCUUAACAGCUUGCAUUUCAAUUUUCUUGCUUUUUUUAAUGCACUUUUCGUUUAACAAGUCAACAUCAGUUUCUUUUGUUGUAAAAAGGUCAUUGGAAGGUGGCUUUCCUUUCGGAGAAAGUGUUUAUAGCCUUUGACUCCUGCAAUCGGAGAGACUGAGGUCUGCAGCGUAGAUCCUUCGGGGUUAGAUACAUUUGUGCUAAGUUAUAGCUUUUUAUAGACAACUUGUUGACUAUGAUUAGUCUUGUAGCUUACUCGCUUAUGCUAUUUUACCUACGCUUAGGAUGUUGAAGAUGUAGCACAUCAU